AGUCGAAUGCGAAAAGUAGCAAUACUAGUAGCAUGGCGAAAGGGAUAGUAAUGCAUGAGCAAUCUACCCUCGACUCUGGGAUAUGCGGUUGAAAGACCGAGUAAUACUAGACGUCGUUUUCGGAGGACAUCCUUUGGAUACGAAAGGUCCGCCGGUCGAGGAGGAGCUCAUGUCCUAUCAGCUAGUUGGCGGGGUAACGGCCCACCAAGGCAAGGACGGGUAGCGGGUGUGAGAGCACGACCCGCAUCACUGGCACUGAGACACUGGCCAGACUCCUACGGGAGGCUGCAGUCGAGAAUCUUCGGCAAUGGACGAAAGUCUGACCGAGCGACGCCGCGUGGAGGAUGAAGGCCUUCGGGUUGUAAACUCCUAUUGGGAGGGAACAAAUUUUGAGUGACCUCCUGAGGAAGCACGGGCUAAGUUCGUGCCAGCAGCCGCGGUAAGACGAACCGUGCAAACGUUAUUCGGAAUCAUUGGGCUUAAAGGGCGCGUAGGCGGCGGUGUAAGUUGGAAGUGAAAUCCCAUCGGCUCAACCGUGGAAUUGCUCCCAGUACUGCAUCGCUCGAGGGGGAUAGGGGUCCGCGGAACUACCGGUGGAGCGGUGAAAUGUGUUGAUAUCGGUGGGAACGCCAGUGGCGAAAGCGGCGGACUUGACCCUUCCUGACGCUGAGGCGCGAAAGCUAGGGGAGCAAACGGGAUU
This 700-nucleotide ribosomal RNA is filed under the name uncultured bacterium. RNAcentral's name for it is "bacterial SSU rRNA". It matches the Rfam family "Bacterial small subunit ribosomal RNA", at positions 60 to 779 of the family's 1533-position model. The record is from RNAcentral.